This is an RNA transcript of Globicephala melas (long-finned pilot whale), 1648 nucleotides long. It is a transcript of the gene named sulfotransferase 1C4-like, with no coding region annotated. Lineage: Eukaryota; Metazoa; Chordata; Mammalia; Artiodactyla; Delphinidae. The record is from RefSeq and is a predicted model, not a curated record.
UUGGGAGACAUUUCUAAAUUUGAAGAGCUAAAAAUGUACUGUGAGAAGAGUUAUCCCACCGCAUUUGAACUACAACGUGCUACCAAUGAAUAUUAAACAAAAACAAUGCAAGAUUAUCUACAUCACUAGGAAUCCAAAAGAUACAGCUGUUUCACUCUUCCACUACUACAGAGAGAACCCUAAUCUCCCUGGCAUUGAAACGUGGCAUGAAUUGUUUGAGCUGUUCCUAAGAGGAGAUGGCCCUACUCUGGACACUGGGAUAUAUAAUCCAUUUUCUUGAGAAACUCUCAGCGGAUUGGUAGAGACAGCGAGAGGUCCUCCUCCAGUCCUCUUUCUCUUUCCCUACUGAGAGGACACAGGAACUGGGGGAAACUCUUAAGCAAAUGUACUGGGUAUCUCAGCUUGCAUCCUGACAUGUAAGAAUAUUUUUGUAAGUCUGGAACAUUAGGCAUGGACAACAUAACUGUUUUCCUACUAAGAAAAUAUUCUUCCUAAGGUAAGAAUGAAUAUGAGUACAGAGUUUUGUCAAAUCCAAUGUUAUUGUCAGAAGAGAGUGUGUUUGCAUUUUUCACUUAAUUGUCAAUCAGUUCGGUCGUCCUCAGCCUGAGAGCAGGGAGCUGCAAUGAAAAAGGAAGCAAAACCUCAGAAAGCUGUCAUUCUACAGCCUCCAUGAGACAUUGAGUCCUGGUGGCACUGGUGACCCAGGGACAGAAUGUAAGCAGUGUUGACAACAGCUGCAAUGGUGAUGUGGAUGAUGGUAAAGGGCUGGUUUCAGUGCCUUCUAUUCCUGCAUAUAAGGUAUCAGAACCCCUGCCUAGAGAUCAGAAUCCUUGGUCCUGAGCAACUUGGCAUCAUCAGUAGUACUUCCUGUGGGGCAGUGUCUGGACAGUGAUACUGUCAAUGGGUAACAAUGGCAUAGCUGCCCCUCUUAGGUGUAAUUUGACACAUUUUCUCUGGGAUCUGAACCGAGAGUUAAAAAAAACCCAAACAAACAGUAGGUUCCCCCAUGGCAGUCAACAGAAUGUUAUUAGGAUCCAUGUAAGACACCCACUGGAUGUUCUUCAAUUUAUUUGGGAAGAUCUUCUGAGGGAUAGGUUUCUUGAGGAGUAAGUAGGAUUGCAGAUAGCUUUAAAAAAAGAAAAAAAAAAGUUGUUUUUGUAACCUUUUUCUUGGAUCCAAACUGCUGUGAUUCAGGAAACGUAGGUGAUGAUCAGAAGAAUGAUCUCUGCUUUCUCUUCCCGAGUCUUCCAAGCUCUGCUGCUCUUCUGAGUAUCUGUGUAGACGCUGAGGUGUGCCGCUCAAAUCUCCCUUCCAAAUGGUCUGCCACCCAGACACGAGGAGUGCAGGACCUGACAGUCUCCAGCGUUUGGCUCCCUUGGGAUGUGCCUCAGCUUUUGAACAGAGGUCAAGUUCUCGGCGUGCCCCCCAGCCAGUGAUGGAGCAAAGCGAUGCUGCAAGGUGGUACAAGGGCUUAGCUUUGGACAAUCGCUGCUCCAGAGAUCCUUGACGGGCUGGCACAGCUUUUGCCAUGUGUGUGUCAUGGUCUGACAGCCCCCCCGUCCAAUCCUACCUCCUUCUGUUUCCUUUUAAGGUGUUAUACUCAUUAAUAAACCAUCUGCACACACAACUCAUCUCAGUAUCUGCUUUC